AAAGCAGAUAAGGGCAGACGGUGGAUGCCUAGGCUCUAAGAGGCGACGAAGGACGUGAUAAGCUGCGAUAAGCUGUGGGUAUUGGCACAUACGAUUUGAUCCACAGAUUUCCGAAUGGGGCAACCCG
This 127-nucleotide ribosomal RNA is filed under the name Porphyromonas cangingivalis. RNAcentral describes it as "23S rRNA. Bacterial LSU". It matches the Rfam family "Bacterial large subunit ribosomal RNA", at positions 1 to 130 of the family's 2925-position model. Lineage: Bacteria; Pseudomonadati; Bacteroidota; Bacteroidia; Bacteroidales; Porphyromonadaceae. The record is from RNAcentral.